ACGGGUUAUUAGUUUACUAAUACUGUCAGCUAAGUGGCGCAGGGAGAAUAAUAUAUAGUUAACCUGCCCCAAAGAAGAGAAUAAUUGUUGGAAACGACUUGUAAUGCUCUAUAUGCCUUUAUCACAAAAGUGAGCAAGGGAAACAUUUAUGGCUUUGGGAUGGGACUGUACGGUAUCAGUUUGUUGGUGAGGUAAUGGCUCACCAAGACUAUGACGCCUAACUGGUUUGAGAGGAUGAUCAGUCACACUGGAACUGAGACACGGUCCAGACUCCUACGGGAGGCAGCAGUGGGGAAUAUUGCACAAUGGACGAAAGUCUGAUGCAGCAACGCCGCGUGGAGGAUGACACAUUUCGGUGCGUAAACUCCUUUUAUAUGAGAAUUAAUGACGGUAUCAUAUGAAUAAGCACCGGCUAACUCCGUGCCAGCUGCCGCGUUAAUACUGGGGGUGCAAGCGUUACUCGGAAUCACUGGGCUUUAAGAGCAUGUAUGCUGGUUUGUAAUUUGGAAGUGUAAUCCUAUGGCUUAACCAUAGAACUGCUUCCAAAACUGCAGACCUAGAUAUAUGGGAGAGGUAGAUGGAAUCUUCUUGUGUAGGGGUAAUAUCCGUAGAGAUCAGAAGGAAUACUUAUUGCGAAGGCGAUC
RNAcentral lists this ribosomal RNA (644 nucleotides) under uncultured Arcobacter sp. RNAcentral describes it as "bacterial SSU rRNA". It matches the Rfam family "Bacterial small subunit ribosomal RNA", at positions 66 to 726 of the family's 1533-position model. The record is from RNAcentral. Lineage: Bacteria; Pseudomonadati; Campylobacterota; Epsilonproteobacteria; Campylobacterales; Arcobacteraceae.